RNAcentral lists this ribosomal RNA (406 nucleotides) under uncultured bacterium. RNAcentral's name for it is "partial 16S ribosomal RNA". It matches the Rfam family "Bacterial small subunit ribosomal RNA", at positions 30 to 526 of the family's 1533-position model. The record is from RNAcentral.
AUUGAACGCUGGCGGCAGGCCUAACACAUGCAAGUCGAACGAGUGGCGGACGGGUGAGUAAUGUCUGGGAAACUGCCCGAUGGAGGGGUCUAACUACUGGAAACGGUAGCUAAUACCGCAUACCAUCGGAUGUGCCCAGAUGGGAUUAGCUAGUGGGGGGGGUAAGGGCUCACCUAGGCGAAGAUCCCUAGCUGGUCUGAGAGGAUGACCGGCCACACUGGAACUGAGACACGGUCCAGACUCCUACGGGAGGCAGCAGUGGGGAAUAUUGCACAAUGGGCGCAAGCCUGAUGCAGCCAUGCCGCGUGUAUGAAGAAGGCCUUCGGGUUGUAAAGUACUUUCAGCGAGGAGGCGUUACUCGCAGAAGAAGCACCGGCUAACUACGUGCCAGCAGCCGCGGUAAUUC